UCAUUGGAAGAAGAUUAGUUUCACCGUGCUCUCUGUUGUUUUGUUGUGAUGCUGCAUUGAUACAAACGUCGUGUCUAAAUGUUGAAGCAAGCAGGAAUAUCUGGAGGAGUAUCUGAACUGAGAUCUGCUGCUGUGAAGAUGGUGUUUGUUAAAGAGGAGAGAGAGGAGGACACGAGUGAACCAGAAAUCCGGAGAAUAAAACUUGAACCAGAAACCUGGAUAAUAAAACAAGAAGAACUAGAACCAUGGAGAAUAAAACACGAGGAACAAGAAACCUGCAGAAUAAAACACGAAGAACUAGAACCCAGGAGAAUAAAACACGAGGAACCAGAAACCUGGAGAAUAAAACAUGAGGAACAAGGAGGUUGGUAUUCAUUCUUCAUUCAUCUUUAAUGAAUUUAAUGUUUGUGGUACAUUAGGCUUACAAAGCUUUAACCCUCUACGGUCUGAGGGGGUUUUGGGGCCCUGUAGAAGUUUUGACAUGCCCUGAUAUAUAUAUAUAUAUAUAUAUAUAUAUAUAUAUAUAUAUAAGGAUUAGGGAUGCAACAAUACAGUUAGCCCACAGUUCAAUACAUACCUCGGUUUUUUAACCACGGUUUUCGGUUCGGUUCUGAUGGCUUGAGUGUUUUUUUGUUAUUCUAUGCUUAGGCAAUAGGAACAGUAAGAGGUUAAGAAGAAAAAAAAUAAAAAUGAUUUAUUGCAAUACUCCUUUAUUUUACUUAAAAGCAAAGAAAAGUCCACUAGUUCCAAGUGUAUUGUAUAAUAUUAAAUAUUUUUUAUUUGAAAAUUAACACUGAUAUCUUACAGCUGCUGGUAGCCCAUGUACAAACUGGGGAACACAUAAAUUCCUAAAUUUUGAAAAUAAACAUACAUGUGAAGUUAGUAAACAUAAAUUGACCAUUUCAAAUAAACAUACUUGUACUUCAGUAAACAUAAAUAAACCAUCUUAAUUAAACUUAACAGUACUCCAGUUCAGUAUCCUUCAUUCAGAAUGUAAAGUGCAAUUUCACUUAGGUCAGCUAUCUAUUCCUGUAUUUUGAGGUUCUUCUGUAAAAAGAUAAGCCUGUCAACAUUCUCUGCAGCAAGGCGAGAGCGUUUUGCACUUACAAUGUCCCCGGCAGUGGAGAAAAUUCUCUCACUCGCAACAGAGGUUCCUGGGACACAGAGGUGUUGUUGUGCAGCUUUUGCUACAUGGGGAACUUGCAUUCAUUUGUUUUUUCACCAUAUGAAUGGAUCAGCAUCCACAUUAAUACUGUCUGCUAACUUGUAUGUGGUGACUUCCUCCUCAAUGAUCUGGGGAAAUGGCCUACCCUGCUGUUCCUCAGUUUUGAAAAGCUCCCCAAAUACCUCUGACAUUGCUGUCUUCUUCUUGGGAGGGGGAGAGGAUGGAUUGUCUUCCUCUAUGGAGGGCACAGGAUUCUCCACUAGACCCUUUGCAUCAAAGAGAAUGAUCCUUUAGUAUAAUUAUUACACAUAUAAGCACACACAGCUCAGAACCACAACCAUCUCCAGUGUAACAUAUGACAAAUGUGAAAUUAUUUUGAUCAGUGAAAAGGACACAAGAUAUAUAACAAACAUCUAAGUAGAUAAAACAAUCAAAAUCACACACGAUUAAAAAAAACAACAAUCAAAUAGUACCUGCUGUUCAUGCUCCAGAAUUUCACGGAUGAUAUUCCUGAAGGGCUUAUCACGAGAGUCUUCAUCAAGGUAAGGCAGGGAUUUAAACCUGGGGUCAAGGGCUGUGGCCAUUUGGAGGUAAUCAUGAAGAUUAGGGUCAGUGUACCUCUUUGCCAGGUCAUUUGUAAUGGCUGCUUUGGCUUCUUUGACUGUUGCACUGUCCUGGUCUUCUGGUGGCAUGGAUUUGAGAAUCAUCUCUUUCAGAGGAAGGAUCAUUGAUAUAGUGGGGGUUGUUUCACUGCUCAUGAGAGUUGUCACUGUUUUCAGUGGUUUGAGGACCUGAAUCAGUUCUUCUGCCAGUUUCUGUUCACUGUCAUUCAACAUGGUUAUGUUCUUGACAGACAGCUUCAGAUCUUUGUCAAGUAAGGCAGAGUAGAUGGCGGGCUGCUGUUCUGUGUAUCUUUCCAACAUGUCAUGUACUGUAUUCCACCGAGUUGUGACAUCAUGAAUUAACUUGUGUCUGGGCAAGUUUAACAUCUCCUGCUUCACAGUCAAAACAUGGUGGGCUUUGGUGCUUUUGUGAAAAAAAAGUCACUAUUUUUCUAACCCUCCCCAGGAGGCGGGACACUGUGUUGAUUGACACUGCUUUCUUGGCUGCUAGGUUUACAACAUGCGCAAAACAACUUAUCUGUGGCCCCAGCCCAUCAGCUUCAUGGACUGCAUUCACAAUAUUCGGAGCGUUAUCUGUGGUGACUGGGAGUAACAUAUUUGGCCUCCUCAACUUCCACGUAUUCACUGCUUUUGUCAACUCUUCUGCCAAAUGAGCGCUUGUAUGACUUUCAUACAGGGGACGGGUUUGGAGUACAGCGCUUUUCAUUUCCCAAUCCGACAUGUAGUGAACAGUUACAGUGAGGUAACUCAUGGUUGCCCGCGAGGUCCAACCAUCUGUGGUCAGAGCAAGGCUCUGUGCUUUAGCCAAUUUGUACACAAUACUGUUGCAUGUCUUUUCAUAGAGGUCGGGAAUUAUCUUGGUGCUGAAAAAAGUGCGAGACGGUUAUCUGUAACGUGGAUCGAGUGUUUUUAUAAGAUGACAAAAGCCCGCAUCUCCAAUCACCAAAAACGGCUGAAAAACUUUGGCAAUGAAUACCCCCACUGCCUUUGUUAUUUUUAUGUGUCUCUCUGAACCAGUUGGGUAUGUAUGCUGGAAGGAUUCAGCGAGGGACUGUUGUUUUUUGGAGGACUUUAUUACCUGCUCUGAUAUCCUGCCUUCAGACAGUGAUAUAGCUGGGUGAUGGCACCGGAGAUCUGCAGUCAUGUUGGAAGUGUUUCCGUUUGAGUAGGCUACACGUGUAAAACAAUGCUUGCAGACAGUCAUUUUUUUGUUUACUGUUUUUUCUUCCUCGGCAUUAUACUCAACGGCAAAACUGAAAUGUCUCCACACCACGGAUUUGAAAGACGCCGGCGCUUCCUCGUACUGUAGCCUCGCUUCAUCGCCGCUCGCCAUGUUAAAGUGUUGAAUUGAUGGUUCAGCGCCCCCUAACUUUAGAGCAUAGUGAUUGAAUAUUUACUCGCGGGGAGGAGUUUCCUCAUCUCAGCUCGUAGACUUAACAGGCACACACAAACAGUCAAUUCGGAGAGAAAUAAAAUGCACAUAAAUUAUUUAAACAUAAAACCGAAAAAAACGCAAUUCACAAGCGCGUAUUGAACCGUGGAUGUUGUACCGAACGGUUCAAUAUUAUAUUGAGAUAUAUAUAUAUAUUUCUCUCCAGUAUCUUAAAAAUGUAUUAAUGCCUAAAGUCUGAUGACACUGUAAUCAGCACAAACUGGGCUACAGUAAUAUGUGAGCAGCAUGGAUGGCAGCGGUUAAGCCAGCCGCGGUUGAAAUGCGCACAUAUUACCAUGAUUACAGUACUUGCAGGAACACCGAGAGAGAAUGCACUUUCAGAGCUUUUCAUUUAGACGCACAGAAUUGAGAUAUAAUUUAACAAGAUUACAUUUCUUGAUUUCUCUUUUCUACUUAUGCUUUAAUAUGCGUGUUAUUUAUUGGUGUUUUGACGGUUGUUUGUUACUGUUUUUUGGUCAGUAUAUAUAGAUGUCGACUGAUAGUGGAUUUUGCCGAUACUGAUAGCUAGGUUGGACCACACUGGCUUUCCCGAUUAAUUAACCGAUAGUUUUUAAAAUAGAUACUGAACAAAAACCAAAAUAGUGCUUUAUUU
This is a long non-coding RNA of Cyprinus carpio (common carp), 3833 nucleotides long. RefSeq lists it as uncharacterized. The transcript has 2 exons. The record is from RefSeq and is a predicted model, not a curated record. NCBI's taxonomy places the organism in Eukaryota, Metazoa, Chordata, Actinopteri, Cypriniformes, Cyprinidae.